Molecule: ribosomal RNA, 403 nt
Filed under: Bacteroidota bacterium
Lineage: Bacteria; Pseudomonadati; Bacteroidota
Also listed under: 1 other name
Description: Bacteroidetes bacterium partial 16S ribosomal RNA
Rfam family: Bacterial small subunit ribosomal RNA
Source: RNAcentral
UGGGGAAUAUUGCACAAUGGAGGGAAUUCUGAUGCAGCGACGCCGCGUGAACGAAGAAGGCUUUCGAGUCGUAAAGUUCUUUUAUAUGGGAAGAUAAUGACGGUACCAUAAGAAAAAGCCCCGGCUAACUACGUGCCAGCAGCCGCGGUAAUACGUAGGGGGCUAGCGUUGUCCGGAAUCACUGGGCGUAAAGGGUUCGCAGGCGGAAAUGCAAGUCAGGUGUAAAAGGCAGUAGCUUAACUACUGUAAGCAUUUGAAACUGCAUAUCUUGAGAAGAGUAGAGGUAAGUGGAAUUUUUAGUGUAGCGGUGAAAUGCGUAGAUAUUAAAAAGAAUACCGGUGGCGAAGGCGACUUACUGGGCUCAUUCUGACGCUGAGGAACGAAAGCGUGGGUAGCAAACAGG